UGCAUCCUGAGAUGAUCGUCAGACUUAUUCGUUCAACCUACAUAAUGUAUAAGGGAUCUUUUAAAUUUAGUCCAAUGUCAGGCUUCUGACGCUAAUGUACUUAGCUAAAAGUAGUAGACAGAAGGCUAAUGCAAAGAACCCACCUGCGAGAGUGCGGGUGUGAAAUGAUAAGUGCAACGACAUAUUGGGAUAUAU
Molecule: non-coding RNA, 195 nt
Filed under: Clostridium mobile
Lineage: Bacteria; Bacillati; Bacillota; Clostridia; Eubacteriales; Clostridiaceae
Description: Clostridium sp. MSJ-11 6S RNA
Rfam family: 6S / SsrS RNA
About the family: E. coli 6S RNA was the first non coding RNA to be sequenced, but its function was unknown until recently. It consists of 184 nucleotides that fold into an extended hairpin structure with a large single-stranded internal bulge. The 6S RNA specifically associates with RNA polymerase holoenzyme containing the sigma70 specificity factor.
Source: RNAcentral